AGGCUGAGGAGAGCAAGUGUGGCUGAAGGGCUGGGUAAUGAAGAUGCUCUCAAGCUACUGGAAAGGGAGCCUUAAGACCAAUGACAGUAUGAUAAUCAGAGGCAAGGAGGAGGUGCAGUAGGCAGGUGUGGGCUUGGAUUGUGACAUCAUAGGAAAAUCACCCUUUCAACAUCUCCUGGUCUCCCGUGCCAUCAGUUCCAAAUGAAAGAAUAGUUCAUUUGAUCUGCUCUAUUGACACCGAAGAGAAGACAAUAUGGCACUGUAAGCAG
Molecule: long non-coding RNA, 269 nt
Organism: Chelonia mydas (Green sea turtle)
Lineage: Eukaryota; Metazoa; Chordata; Testudines; Cheloniidae
Exons: 3
Source: RefSeq, a predicted model, not a curated record